This 315-nucleotide ribosomal RNA is filed under the name uncultured bacterium. Its description in RNAcentral is "bacterial SSU rRNA". It matches the Rfam family "Bacterial small subunit ribosomal RNA", at positions 28 to 334 of the family's 1533-position model. The record is from RNAcentral.
GAUGAACGCUAGCUACAGGCUUAACACAUGCAAGUCGCGGGGCAGCAUGUUACUGGCUUGCCAGUAAUGAUGGCGACCGGCGCACGGGUGAGUAUCGCGUAUCCAACCUUCCCAUAUCCACGGGAUAGCCUGCCGAAAGGCAGAUUAAUACCGUAUGUUGUCGCACGCUGGCAUCAAAAUGCGACGAAAGGCUUAGCGGAUAUGGAUGGGGAUGCGUCCGAUUAGCUUGACGGCGGGGUAACGGCCCACCGUGGCGACGAUCGGUAGGGGUUCUGAGAGGAAGGUCCCCCACAUUGGAACUGAGACACGGUCCAA